Molecule: ribosomal RNA, 433 nt
Filed under: uncultured bacterium
Lineage: Bacteria
Description: partial 16S ribosomal RNA
Rfam family: Bacterial small subunit ribosomal RNA
Source: RNAcentral
AACGAACGCUGGCGGCAUGCUUAACACAUGCAAGUCGAACGAAACGGCCCGGCCUUGGGGCGCACGUCUGGGUACGGCGUGGGAACUAACCCUUAGGUAAGGUACAAUUGACUGUAAGGUAACUUCAGAACGCUUGAUCUCUUAGCAGCAAAGAUCUCCUGCUUCUGGAUGGGGGCGCGUUGGAUUCGCUAGUUGGUAGGGUAAUAGCCUACCAAGGCGUCGAUGCAUAGCUGGUCUGAGAGGAUGAUUAGGCCCAGUGGAGCUGAGACACGGGCCAGACUCCUACGGGAGGCAGCAGUGGGGAAUAUUGGACAAUGGGCGAAAGCCUGAUCCAGCAAUGCCGCGUGAGUGAUGAAGGCCUUAGGGUUGUAAAGCUCUUUUACCCGGGAUGAUAAUGACAGUACCGGGAGAAUAAGCACCGGCUAACUCCGUG